RNAcentral lists this ribosomal RNA (388 nucleotides) under Chytridiomycetes sp. Its description in RNAcentral is "partial small subunit ribosomal RNA". It matches the Rfam family "Eukaryotic small subunit ribosomal RNA", at positions 582 to 975 of the family's 1831-position model. Lineage: Eukaryota; Fungi; Chytridiomycota; Chytridiomycetes. The record is from RNAcentral.
AUUCCAGCUCCAAUAGCGUAUAUUAAAGUUGUUGCAGUUAAAAAGCUCGUAGUUGAAUUUUGGACCUGGUUGAAUGGUCCCGCCGCAAGGUGGGUACUGUUUGAUUGGGUCUUUCUUUGCGGGGAAUUAGUGUGCUCUUAAUUGGGUGCAUUAAGGAUCCGUAACUUUUACUUUGAAAAAAUUAGAGUGUUUAAAGCAGGCUUAGGCCUGAAUACAUUAGCAUGGAAUAAUAGAAUAGGACCUGUGUUCUAUUUUGUUGGUUUCUAGGACGUAGGUAAUGAUUAAUAGGGACAGUUGGGGGCAUUCAUACUAAUGAGUCAGAGGUGAAAUUCUUCGAUUUCAUUAAGAUGAACUAAUGCGAAGGCAUUUGCCAAGGAUGUUUUCAUCA